Molecule: ribosomal RNA, 349 nt
Filed under: uncultured bacterium
Lineage: Bacteria
Description: bacterial SSU rRNA
Rfam family: Bacterial small subunit ribosomal RNA
Source: RNAcentral
GGGGUUUGACAUGAUAGUGAAGUAUGCAGAGAUGUAUACGCCUUUCGGGGCGCUAUUACAGGUGCUGCAUGGCUGUCGUCAGCUCGUGUCGUGAAAUGUUGGGUUAAGUCCCGCAACGAGCGCAACCCUUGCCCCUAGUUGCCAGCAAGUAAUGUUGGGGACUCUAGGGGGACUGCCGGUGAUAAACUGGAGGAAGGUGGGGAUGACGUCAAGUCCUCAUGGCCCUUACAUCCCGGGCUACACACGUGCUACAAUGGGCUGUACAGAGGGUCGCAAACUCGCGAGAGUAAGCCAAUCCCACAAAGCAGUCCUCAGUUCGGAUUGGAGUCUGCAACUCGACUCCAUGAAG